GGAAGCCGGGGAGUAGGGCUGGACUGUGGCCACUGCCCUGGAGAGAAGACAGAAACAGGACAGAGGAUCCCGGCUGCAGCCAGCGUGAGGAAAGCUCCUCCGUUCCCUGCCAGACUGGCCAGCUGUGGAAACCCAGCCGGGCUUGCAGCAGAGUGGAGGGGCCCACCCCGUUCUUCCUCAUUUCCUGCCCCUGGUGUGGGAUUUGGGGGGCUCCUGGGCAGAGUGCGAAGCUCCGGAGCCGAGGCCGCCGGAUCCCCGGUGACUGCUCAGGGGGGUCCCGCUGCGUGGAGAUGCCGGCAGCACGUCGGUUCCCUGGCCUGGAGCUCUCCUUCCCUCUCCUGGCCAGACUGCGGCGACGCCUGUACACAAGGCUGGGAGGCGGCAGCAUGCAGCCAGAGGAGGGCACAGGCUGGCUGCUGGAGCUGCUGUCCGAGGUGCAGCUGCAACAGUACUUCCUGCGGCUCCGAGAUGACCUCAAUAUCACCCGCCUGUCCCACUUUGAGUACGUCAAGAAUGAGGACCUGGAGAAGAUCGGCAUGGGCCGGCCUGGCCAGCGGCGGCUGUGGGAGGCUGUGAAGAGGAGGAAGGCCUUGUGCAAACGCAAGUCGUGGAUGAGUAAGGUGUUCAGUGGAAAGCGACUGGAGGCUGAGUUCCCCGCUCAUCACUCUCAGAGCACCUUCCGGAAGACCUCGCCCGCCCCUGGGGGCCCAGCAGGGGAGGGACCCCUGCAGAGCCUUACCUGCCUCAUUGGGGAGAAGGACCUGCGCCUCCUGGAGAAGCUGGGCGAUGGCUCCUUUGGCGUGGUGCGCAGGGGCGAGUGGGACGCGCCCUCAGGGAAGACGGUGAGUGUGGCUGUGAAGUGCCUGAAGCCCGAUGUCCUGAGCCAGCCGGAAGCCAUGGACGACUUCAUCCGGGAGGUCAAUGCUAUGCACUCGCUCGACCACCGAAACCUCAUCCGCCUCUACGGGGUGGUGCUCACGCCGCCCAUGAAGAUGGUGUGCCCCUGAGAGCCUGAAGACACGCACCUUCUCCCAUGCCAGCGACACCUGGAUGUUCGGGGUGACACUGUGGGAAAUGUUCACCUACGGCCAGGAGCCCUGGAUCGGCCUCAACGGCAGUCAGAUCCUGCAUAAGAUCGACAAAGAGGGGGAGCGGCUGCCUCGGCCCGAGGACUGUCCCCAGGACAUCUACAAUGUCAUGGUCCAGUGCUGGGCUCACAAGCCAGAGGACAGACCCACGUUUGUGGCCCUGCGGGACUUCCUGCUGGAGGCCCAGCCCACGGACAUGCGGGCCCUUCAGGACUUUGAGGAAGCGGACAAGCUGCACAUCCAGAUGAAUGAUGUCAUCACCGUUAUCGAGGGAAGGGCCGAGAACUACUGGUGGCGUGGCCAGAACACGCGGACGCUGUGUGUGGGGCCCUUCCCUCGCAACGUGGUGACCUCCGUGGCCGGCCUGUCGGCCCAGGACAUCAGCCAGCCCCUGCAGAACAGCUUCAUCCACACGGGGCAUGGCGACAGUGACCCCCGCCACUGCUGGGGCUUCCCGGACAGGAUUGACGAACUGUAUCUGGGAAACCCCCUGGACCCCCCCGACCUGCUGAGCGUGGAACUGAGCACCUCCCGGCCCCCCCAGCAUCUAGGAGGGGUGAAAAGUAAGAGCUCCCCUCUGCUCCCUAGUGUCCCUAACUCAUCGGCUGCUCAGGAAGGGGCACUGUCUUCACAGACCACCCUGAGCCUGCUGUUCUGGCUCUGGGGACAGUGGGGUCAGGGCAGCAGGCGGGACAGCUGUGUCCCUGGCUCCCGCUGGGCGUGGGGUGGAAGACAGGCAGCUGUAUCCGCCGAGGUGGGCCUCCUCGAGCUGGGUCUGCAGCAAGCCCGUCUGCCCUGGAGUCCCUCCUCCCUCCUUCCACAGCCGAGCUCAGAUUCUGGCUUUCCUCACUUCCCCCUAACCCUGCUCUCCUGUCCCAAUCCAAAACCACCCCAUGGCUCCGGCUCCACCUAGAGCCUCCUCCAUCUCCCGGUCCUCUGCCUGUCAUACCGGACCGCCGUGUUCCUCAUCCUGCCGCCCACGGCCUCCCGUUUGCUGGGGGCUUGUACACUCACCCGCCCCCAUUCACUUCUCUCCCUUCCUGUUUCUCUACACUCUGUCCUCUCGUCCGGCCGUCUCCCUCCUUUGUCCUCUGUCCUGCUCCGUCCCUCUCCCCCUGUCCGCAUGGCCUUUCUUGCAGGGGAGCCUCCACCUCGCCCACCUCAGCCUGCCUUCUUCACUCAGAGUAAGUGGGGCUGCUUCCGAUGCCUUGGCCCCCGCCCCCGCCCCCUCUCUCUCACUCCUCUCCUGGAAGGUACAGAGCCCGGGCGGCUGGGCCGGAGGGGAGGUGGGUGUGUGCUGUGAGCUUCCGCGGCUGCCCUGGCCUAGCGUGCCUGCCUCCCGAGCCUGCCCCCCGGAGCCUGGGCUUCUGGAGCACGAGUGUGGCCCUGGCUUCCGCCUCGGCCUCACUCCCUCCCAGACCUGCAGGCGCUCUCUGGGCUUCGUGGCCCUUGGUCAGGAGUGCUGUUCUCUCCAAGGAUAGUUCCUAUAGCCCCUGAUGGCAGGAGGCGGCUCCGUGCCUGCACUAAUGGUGUGCCGUGACGGGGGCGGGGAUGAGGGCUUACUAACUCACCCGGGCACAGGAGCAGGGCUGCGGGGUCUUGUGCUGAUGGAGGCAGCAGCCAGUGUUGCUUGCUCCAGCUUAGACGGAGGGAAGCGGGGCUCACCGGCCCGCACGGGGCUGCCGCGCAGAGCAGGUUCCGCCCUCCUGAUGGAGUGGUCGGAGGUGCGCUGAGAACCUGGCCGCCGAUGGCUGACCUCAGACCUCGGGGGGAGCUGGGAGUGGAGGGUUGCUGGGGGACACUCGGCUUUCUUUCCCAUGUGCCACCUCCCCUCGUGCCCCGACCCUGCCUGACUGCCUUCCUGUUGGGGUCUCCCUUUCCAUCACAGAACCAACCUAUGACCCUGUGAGCGAAGACCAAGACCCCCUGUCCAGCGACUUCAAGAGGCUGGGCCUGCGGAAGCCAGGCCUGCCCCGAGGGCUGUGGCUGGCGAAGCCCUCGGCGCGCGUGCCGGGCACCAAGGCCGGCCGAGGCAGCGGGGCUGAGGUCACGCUCAUCGACUUUGGUGAGGAGCCCGUGGUCCCGGCCCUACGGCCCUGUGCGCCCUCCCUGGCGCAGCUGGCCAUGGACGCCUGCUCCCUGCUGGACGAGACCCCGCCUCAGAGCCCCACGCGGGCACUGCCCCGGCCCCUGCACCCCACGCCUGUGGUGGACUGGGACGCACGCCCGCUGCCUCCCCCGCCCGCUUAUGACGAUGUGGCCCAGGAUGAGGAUGACUUUGAGGUCUGCUCCAUCAACAGCACCCCGGUGGGCGCGGGGGUCCCUGCCGGGCCCAGCCAGGGCCAGACCAACUACGCAUUUGUGCCUGAGCAGGCGCGGCC
This 3469-nucleotide small RNA is filed under the name Pongo abelii (Sumatran orangutan). RNAcentral's name for it is "retained intron". The record is from RNAcentral. Lineage: Eukaryota; Metazoa; Chordata; Mammalia; Primates; Hominidae.